This 117-nucleotide ribosomal RNA is filed under the name Schistocephalus solidus. Lineage: Eukaryota; Metazoa; Platyhelminthes; Cestoda; Diphyllobothriidea; Diphyllobothriidae. The record is from RNAcentral.
UACCGCGACUAUACCACGUCGAAAGCAUCGGUUCUUGUCCACUCAUGGAAAUUAACCUACGCUGGGUCUGAUUAGUAUUGACAUGGGCGACCCCUGGGAUACUGGCUGUUGCUGAUG